Non-coding RNA from Bombyx mori (domestic silkworm), 84 nucleotides. The record is from Rfam. Lineage: Eukaryota; Metazoa; Arthropoda; Insecta; Lepidoptera; Bombycidae.
UUAGCUCAUAUUUGUAUGGAAUGGGAUCGUUUGUCUACGUUUGCCGCUAGGGGCGCUGUUCCAACUGCAUACAAAUUUGAGUUA